UUUCAAACUUAUAAUAUAAAUCUUAAACUUAAACUCAAAUUAGAUCAUUUUAAAAAUCUAAUCUCAAAUUUAAAAUCUAAACCUCAAACACUAAAUCUAAAUCUAUACUCUAAAUCUAAUACCCUAAACCUCAAACAUAAAUCCAACAUACAAAGUCACUAAUCUAAUCUAAUAUUUCUAUAUUAAUUCUUAAAUUUCAAAGAUCCUAAUCUUAUACUAACCAUUACUUACAAAAGUUUAUUUUAAAAUUUCAAAUCUUAACUUUUUAUUUUAUAUAUCUAAACUCUAAACCUUUCAUACAUCCCAAACAUCAAUAACAAAGUCAUGGAUCUAAUCCCUAAAUUACAUAUCUCAUAUUAAAUUUUGAAUACUACAUACAAAGUCAUGGAUCUAAUCUUUAUAAAUACUAGACUAAAACCUAUACUUUAUAAAAAUUAUAUAUUUCUUAAUUCUUUUUCAAAUAUUUAUCCUAAAUUUUAACUUAACCACAAUUCUAUUUCAAAAACUUCAAACCAUAUAUUUUAAACUUAAGCACAACUAUAUCAACUAAUAGUCAACAAUUAUAAUAUUAAUUAACAGAUUUUCAAAAUUAAACUUUAAAGUAUUAAUUUUAAAAUAUUAAUAUUUUAUCAUCAAUUUUCAAAAAUUAUAAACCAAAAGUCACCAAAAUAGUGAAAAAUGGAACAACAAAAGAUAAAAUCAAGAGGAAAAAAUCUAUUUAGUAACUAUUAAAUAAAAAAGUAAGUUAUAGACCAAUCUACUAUCAUCACGCGGAUCACCCUCUGAACCGUAAGAUGCAAUUAAAUUAAUGGAUGAGAUUGUUUUAUUUACUUUUUUCUUUUUAUUUUUUUUUCUCUUUCGUUCGUAUCUUCACAGAUCUCUUUCUCUCCAUCCCAUCGACAAAUCCCUCUUCCAUUUUUUUUCCUUAAUCAUCUCACAACACAAACCGCUCUCUGUCUUAUUCUCCUAACCUCAAUGUCUCACUCUCCUAAUCUCUCUCCCACACACGACACAUCUCACAACCAGAAGAAAUAGGUUCCUAAGUUCUAGCUAUUUUCAUGUUUCUGGUCAAGAUUAUCAUUUCAAUUAUGGUUUUUCACAGGAGGCGCUAAAGCAACGGUGGAGAAGCGGCAGACUCGUCUCUGGUCAAGAUCUGCGUCGGCUUCACCUCCUCACCACCAACACAGAUUUAUUAAGGAGCAGGGAAGGAGAAGCAGUGGUGUGACAUAGCCAGCGUCUCCGGUCAAGCGUGGUGGUACAAGCCGGUGGUGGUCGUGCGGUGGAGAUGCGAGAGCAAUGUCGCGGUGUGGUGAGUGCGGCGGCGACUGAAGAAGUAAAUUAGGUUUAGUUACGGUUAAUUAGUAAACCAAUUUGUAAUUGUAAACCAUUUUGUAAGUGUAUACCAAUUUGUAAUGGUAAACCAUGUAAACCAAAAUUCAAUUUAUAAAAGUACCAAAAUUUUUUUUU
This is a long non-coding RNA of Brassica napus (rape), 1467 nucleotides long. RefSeq lists it as uncharacterized. NCBI's taxonomy places the organism in Eukaryota, Viridiplantae, Streptophyta, Magnoliopsida, Brassicales, Brassicaceae. The record is from RefSeq and is a predicted model, not a curated record. The transcript is spliced from 2 exons.